GACGAACGCUGGCGGCGUGCUUAACACAUGCAAGUCGAGCGGGGAACUUCGGUUCGCAGCGGCGGACGGGUGAGUAACACGUGGGUAACCUGCCUCAUAGUGGGGAAUAGCCUUCCGAAAGGAAGAUUAAUACCGCAUAAUACUCGGAAAUCACAUGAUUUCUGAGCCAAAGGAUUUAUUCGCUAUGAGAUGGACCCGCGGCGCAUUAGCUUGUUGGUGAGGUAACGGCUCACCAAGGCUUCGAUGCGUAGCCGAGCUGAGAGGGUGAUCGGCCACAUUGGCACUGAGACACGGUCCAGACUCCUACGGGAGGCAGCAGUGGGGAAGAUUGCACCAUGGGGGAAACCAUCAUGCAGCAACGCCGCGUGAGUGAUGAAGGUCUUCGGAUCGUAAACCUCUGUCUUAUGGGACGAUAAUGACGGUACCAUAGGAGGAAGCCACGGCUAACUACGUGCCAGCCGCCGCCGUAA
Molecule: ribosomal RNA, 470 nt
Filed under: uncultured bacterium
Lineage: Bacteria
Description: partial 16S ribosomal RNA
Rfam family: Bacterial small subunit ribosomal RNA
Source: RNAcentral